GUCCACGCCGUAAACGUUGGGCACUAGGUGUGGGGCCUUCUAACGGGUUCCGUGCCGUAGCUAACGCAUUAAGUGCCCCGCCUGGGGAGUACGGCCGCAAGGCUAAAACUCAAAGGAAUUGACGGGGGCCCGCACAAGCGGCGGAGCAUGUUGCUUAAUUCGAGGCAACGCGAAGAACCUUACCUGGGUUUGACAUGUACCGAAAAGCCAUAGAGAUAUGGUGUCCUUCGGGGCGGUACACAG
RNAcentral lists this ribosomal RNA (243 nucleotides) under uncultured bacterium. RNAcentral's name for it is "partial 16S ribosomal RNA". It matches the Rfam family "Bacterial small subunit ribosomal RNA", at positions 793 to 1037 of the family's 1533-position model. The record is from RNAcentral.